Molecule: long non-coding RNA, 1172 nt
Filed under: Nicotiana benthamiana
Lineage: Eukaryota; Viridiplantae; Streptophyta; Magnoliopsida; Solanales; Solanaceae
Description: long non-coding RNA (NBEN_LNC021144)
Source: RNAcentral
GGUUAGAGGUGUUGGUCGAGUUUUUAGGUGACGGGCCAAAUUUGAAUUUUUGGAUCUUUGCUCGAAAUCCAAUUAUGACGGUACCAUUGGAUUCAUCUCGUCGAACGGAGUCCAAUGCACCAAACAGCGCCUAAUCGGAGUUCAAAUGAGCCCAGAAAUCGCGGUCAAAGUUUGGUCAACUUUGCCGGAGGUUCGCCGGGAACUCGCCGGAGAAGACGACCGGUCAAUUGUAGCGAACCAGUCAACUCUCUGAAAUUGCAGAGUGGUCCCUCAACUUUCAAAAAUUAUAGUUUUGCCCCUAUAGUGGAAUUUCAUCCACGAAGUGUCAAUUCCACCAUUUUCGACAGUUCCGCAACUCGCCGGAGAAGACAACCGUCGCAGGAAAUUUCGCCGAAGUAGACGGCCGGUCAACUGUAGUGAACCAAUCAACUCUCUGAAAUUACAGAUUGGUCCCUCAACUUUUAAAAAUUAUAGUUUUGCCCCUAUAGUGAAAUUUCAGCCACGGAGUGUUAAUUCCACAAUUUUCGACCGUUCCGGACGCAAUGGUGAACUUCGUGUUUAAAGAUUCAACCCCGAUCGUGUUGAAAAAUUAUUUUGUAAGAUGAUAAAGUCCACAGAAGAGUCAGCAUCAUCUUUCGGAGCCAUGAUUACGCUUACUGCCACAAAUUACACGCUAUGGAGACCUAGGAUGGAAGAUCUCCUAACUUGUAAAGACUUGUUUGAUCCCAUAGAAUUGAUGGGUAAAAUUCCUGAUCCCACCAAGGAGUUAGAGCGGAAGAAAUCAAAUCGAAAAACAAUUGGUCAAAUCCGUCAUAUCACCUAAGCUGUAAAAAUUUGUUUGAUCCCAUAGAACUGAUGGGUAAAAAUCCUGAUCCCACCAAGGAGUUAGAGUGGAAAAAAUCAAAUCGAAAAACUAUUGGUCAAAUCCGUCAAUGGAUUGAUCAUAGUGUGUUCCACCAAAUUGCACAAGAAACAGACGCAUAUACCCUCUGGAAGAAGUUGGAAGACAUGUACCAGGACAAGACCGCUCGGAAUAAGGCCGUAUUGAUGAGGCGCUUAGUCAACAGGAAGCUAAAAAAUGAAACUUCAAUUGCCGAGCAUACCAGUGAGUUCCAAAACCUGGUCAACCAGUUGUCGUCUGUAGAGAUGCCACUUAGCGAUGAAGUUCAGGC